Molecule: ribosomal RNA, 315 nt
Filed under: uncultured bacterium
Lineage: Bacteria
Description: bacterial SSU rRNA
Rfam family: Bacterial small subunit ribosomal RNA
Source: RNAcentral
GAUGAACGCUAGCUACAGGCUUAACACAUGCAAGUCGAGGGGCAGCGGGAUUGAAGCUUGCUUCAAUUGCCGGCGACCGGCGCACGGGUGAGUAACGCGUAUCCAACCUUCCGCUUACUCGGGGAUAGCACUGAGAAAUUGGUACUAAUACCCCAUAAUAUCAUAGAAGGCAUCUUUUAUGGUUGAAAAUUCCGAUGGUUAGAGAUGGGCAUGCGUUGUAUUAGCUAGUUGGUGGGGUAACGGCUCACCAAGGCGACGAUACAUAGGGGGGACUGAGAGGUUAACCCCCCACACUGGUACUGAGACACGGACCAG